RNAcentral lists this ribosomal RNA (773 nucleotides) under uncultured Neocallimastigales. RNAcentral describes it as "partial large subunit ribosomal RNA". It matches the Rfam family "Eukaryotic large subunit ribosomal RNA", at positions 22 to 640 of the family's 3401-position model. The record is from RNAcentral. Lineage: Eukaryota; Fungi; Neocallimastigomycota; Neocallimastigomycetes; Neocallimastigales.
UAGAUGCGAGAGUAGAGCAUAUCAAUAAGCGGAGGAAAAGAAACUAACAAGGAUUCCCUAGUAACGGCGAGUGAAGCGGGAAGAGCUCAAAUUUGAAAUCUUCAAGGUUUACCUUGACGAAUUGUAGUUUAUAGAAGUGUUUUCUGUUAGAGGAGUAGUAAAAGUUCUUUGGAAUAGGACAUCAUAGAGGGUGAGAAUCCCGUAUUUGGACUAUUCUUCUAGCGUUGUGAUACACUUUCAAAGAGUCGGAUUGUUUGGGAAUGCAGUCCAAAAUGGGUGGUAAAUUUCAUCUAUAAGCUAAAUAUUGGCGAGAGACCGAUAGCGAACAAGUACCGUGAGGGAAAGAUGAAAAGAACUUUGAAAAGAGAGUUAAACAGUACGUGAAAUUGUCAAAAGGGAAGCGUUUGACACCAGUGUUGUUUAGUUGAAAAUCAAUUCAAUAAUUUUUGAUUUUAAGUAGUAUUGACUUCAUCAGCUUGCUGCUUUCUUUUCGGGAAUUAUUGAAUGCACUUUUCAGUUAACAAGUCAACAUCAAUUUCUUUUGUUGUAAAAGGGUAAGAGGAAGGUGGCUUACGCUUCGGCGUAAGUGUUUAUAGCCUUUUACCUCUGCAAUCGGAGAGAUUGAGGACAGCAGCGUAGACUCUUCGGGGUUAGAUACACUUGUGCUAAGCUAUAGCCUUGUAUAGACAACUUGUUGACUAUGCUCAGUCAUGUAGCUUACUCGCUUGUGCUAUUUUACCUACGCUUAGGAUGUUGACACACGCGCGUGCUCG